This 522-nucleotide ribosomal RNA is filed under the name uncultured bacterium. RNAcentral's name for it is "bacterial SSU rRNA". It matches the Rfam family "Bacterial small subunit ribosomal RNA", at positions 8 to 526 of the family's 1533-position model. The record is from RNAcentral.
AGAGUUUGAUCAUGGCUCAGAACGAACGCUGGCGGCGUGCCUAACACAUGCAAGUCGAACGAGAAAGGGGCUUCGGCCCUGAGUAAAGUGGCGCACGGGUGAGUAAUGCAUCGGAACGUGUCCUCUUGUGGGGGAUAACCAGUCGAAAGACUGGCUAAUACCGCAUGAGAUCGAGAGAUGAAAGCAGGGGACCGCAAGGCCUUGCGCGAGAGGAGCGGCCGAUGCCGGAUUAGCUAGUUGGUGGGGUAACGGCCUACCAAGGCGACGAUCCGUAGCUGGUCUGAGAGGACGACCAGCCACACUGGGACUGAGACACGGCCCAGACUCCUACGGGAGGCAGCAGUGGGGAAUUUUGGACAAUGGGGGCAACCCUGAUCCAGCCAUGCCGCGUGUGUGAAGAAGGCCUUCGGGUUGUAAAGCACUUUCGGACGGAACGAAAUCGCGCGGGUGAACAUCCCGCGUGGAUGACGGUACCGUAAGAAGAAGCACCGGCUAACUACGUGCCAGCCGCCGCGGUAAUAC